UUCUCUCUAGGAUGUUUGCCAGCCGGUCGAAUUCCCCUGAGCCGAUAUCAACAUCUUAGGAUGUGUUCUGCGUAUUUAGAGCGUAUGCCUGCCCCGUGCAGGAAACCCAGCAAGUACGCGUCGCGUCCACCUUGAACUUUAAGGGUUCAAGGGUAACGACAUGCAGCGGCAUCUCUGGAGAAUCU
Molecule: non-coding RNA, 185 nt
Organism: Acinetobacter rudis CIP 110305
Lineage: Bacteria; Pseudomonadati; Pseudomonadota; Gammaproteobacteria; Moraxellales; Moraxellaceae
Rfam family: 6S / SsrS RNA
About the family: E. coli 6S RNA was the first non coding RNA to be sequenced, but its function was unknown until recently. It consists of 184 nucleotides that fold into an extended hairpin structure with a large single-stranded internal bulge. The 6S RNA specifically associates with RNA polymerase holoenzyme containing the sigma70 specificity factor.
Source: Rfam